RNAcentral lists this ribosomal RNA (602 nucleotides) under uncultured Filobasidiaceae. Its description in RNAcentral is "eukaryotic LSU rRNA". The stretch from base 151 to 304 matches the Rfam family "5.8S ribosomal RNA". Lineage: Eukaryota; Fungi; Basidiomycota; Tremellomycetes; Filobasidiales. The record is from RNAcentral.
CUGCGGAGGAUCAUUAAUGAAAAUGUGUUGCCGGGGCCCAUAAUCCCGGCACUAACCUUCUUAUCCAUAACACCUGUGCACUGUUGGAUGCUUGCAUCCACUUUUAUACUAAACAAUUUGUAACAAAUGUAGUCUUAUUAUAAUUAAUAAAACUUUUAACAACGGAUCUCUUGGCUCUCGCAUCGAUGAAGAACGCAGCGAAAUGCGAUAAGUAAUGUGAAUUGCAGAAUUCAGUGAAUCAUCGAAUCUUUGAACGCACCUUGCGCUCCUUGGUAUUCCGAGGAGCAUGCCUGUUUGAGUGUCAUAAACCUCUCAAACCCAAGUUUUGGAUUUAUCCUUGCUUGAGUUUGGAUUUGGGUGUUUGCCAGUGAUGAACUGACUCACCUUAAAAGUAUUAGCUAGAUCUGUCUUUGACUGGUUUGACUUGGCAUAAUAAGUAUUUUGCUAAGGACAUCUUCGGAUGGCCAGGACUUGACUUUUGUCUGCUUACUAAACCUUACUUUAAGUGCAUCUCUGGUGUUACUUAUAGUAUUACUUUGACAUAUGGCCUCAAAUCAGGUAGGACUACCCGCUGAACUUAAGCAUAUCAAUAAGCGGAGGAA